RNAcentral lists this non-coding RNA (172 nucleotides) under pig gut metagenome. RNAcentral describes it as "malK-I RNA". It matches the Rfam family "malK-I RNA". The record is from RNAcentral.
GUAUGCCAAUCCACACUUAUGGCUGCUGCCGGUAAAAAAAGGAGGAACGUCAACAUCCGCAGGACUCGCGGUGCGGUAUUGUGGAGACAUACCGUAAUACAGCCGUCAAGCCCGAUGGCUGUGAGCGUGCGCAUUGCAGAGGCAGCGCACGGCAGAGUCAAAUCGUAUGGCA